RNAcentral lists this ribosomal RNA (253 nucleotides) under uncultured bacterium. RNAcentral's name for it is "partial 16S ribosomal RNA". It matches the Rfam family "Bacterial small subunit ribosomal RNA", at positions 524 to 776 of the family's 1533-position model. The record is from RNAcentral.
UACGUAGGGGGCAAGCGUUGUCCGGAAUUAUUGGGCGUAAAGGGCGCGUAGGCGGGUAUUUAAGUCUGGUGUGAAAGAUCAGGGCUCAACCCUGAGAGUGCAUCGGAAACUGGGUAUCUUGAGGACAGGAGAGGAAAGUGGAAUUCCACGUGUAGCGGUGAAAUGCGUAGAUAUGUGGAGGAACACCAGUGGCGAAGGCGACUUUCUGGACUGUAACUGACGCUGAGGCGCGAAAGCGUGGGGAGCAAACAGG